UACGUAGGGUGCAAGCGUUGUCCGGAAUUAUUGGGCGUAAAGAGCUCGUAGGCGGUUUGUCGCGUCUGCUGUGAAAACCCGAGGCUCAACCUCGGGCCUGCAGUGGGUACGGGCAGACUAGAGUGCGGUAGGGGAGAUUGGAAUUCCUGGUGUAGCGGUGGAAUGCGCAGGUAUCAGGAGGAACACCAAUGGCGAAGGCAGAUCUCUGGGCCGUAACUGACGCUGAGGAGCGAAAGCAUGGGGAGCGAACAGG
This 253-nucleotide ribosomal RNA is filed under the name uncultured bacterium. Its description in RNAcentral is "partial 16S ribosomal RNA". It matches the Rfam family "Bacterial small subunit ribosomal RNA", at positions 524 to 776 of the family's 1533-position model. The record is from RNAcentral.